RNAcentral lists this ribosomal RNA (2858 nucleotides) under Salmonella enterica. Its description in RNAcentral is "bacterial LSU rRNA". It matches the Rfam family "Bacterial large subunit ribosomal RNA". The record is from RNAcentral. Lineage: Bacteria; Pseudomonadati; Pseudomonadota; Gammaproteobacteria; Enterobacterales; Enterobacteriaceae.
AGCGUACACGGUGGAUGCCCUGGCAGUCAGAGGCGAUGAAGGGCGUGCUAAUCUGCGAUAAGCGCCGGUAAGGUGAUAUGAACCGUUAUAACCGGCGAUACCCGAAUGGGGAAACCCAGUGUGAUUCGUCACACUAUCAUUAACUGAAUCCAUAGGUUAAUGAGGCGAACCGGGGGAACUGAAACAUCUAAGUACCCCGAGGAAAAGAAAUCAACCGAGAUUCCCCCAGUAGCGGCGAGCGAACGGGGAGGAGCCCAGAGCCUGAAUCAGCAUGUGUGUUAGUGGAAGCGUCUGGAAAGGCGCGCGAUACAGGGUGACAGCCCCGUACACAAAAGCGCAUGUGCUGUGAGCUCGAUGAGUAGGGCGGGACACGUGGUAUCCUGUCUGAAUAUGGGGGGACCAUCCUCCAAGGCUAAAUACUCCUGACUGACCGAUAGUGAACCAGUACCGUGAGGGAAAGGCGAAAAGAACCCCGGCGAGGGGAGUGAAAAAGAACCUGAAACCGUGUACGUACAAGCAGUGGGAGCACAGGUUUACCUGUGUGACUGCGUACCUUUUGUAUAAUGGGUCAGCGACUUAUAUUCUGUAGCAAGGUUAACCGUAUAGGGGAGCCGCAGGGAAACCGAGUCUUAAUUGGGCGUUAAGUUGCAGGGUAUAGACCCGAAACCCGGUGAUCUAGCCAUGGGCAGGUUGAAGGUUGGGUAACACUAACUGGAGGACCGAACCGACUAAUGUUGAAAAAUUAGCGGAUGACCUGUGGCUGGGGGUGAAAGGCCAAUCAAACCGGGAGAUAGCUGGUUCUCCCCGAAAGCUAUUUAGGUAGCGCCUCGUGAAUUCAUCUCCGGGGGUAGAGCACUGUUUCGGCUAGGGGGCCAUCCCGGCUUACCAACCCGAUGCAAACUGCGAAUACCGGAGAAUGUUAUCACGGGAGACACACGGCGGGUGCUAACGUCCGUCGUGAAGAGGGAAACAACCCAGACCGCCAGCUAAGGUCCCAAAGUCAUGGUUAAGUGGGAAACGAUGUGGGAAGGCCCAGACAGCCAGGAUGUUGGCUUAGAAGCAGCCAUCAUUUAAAGAAAGCGUAAUAGCUCACUGGUCGAGUCGGCCUGCGCGGAAGAUGUAACGGGGCUAAACCAUGCACCGAAGCUGCGGCAGCGAACGUAUCACUUAAAGCGAUUCAGCGGGUUACGAUUGACGGAGCGAAGCGACGUCAAAGCGUAUACAAAGUCGAGUCGGUUUAAGGAUACGUUCGUUGGGUAGGGGAGCGUUCUGUAAGCCUGUGAAGGUGGCCUGUGAGGGUUGCUGGAGGUAUCAGAAGUGCGAAUGCUGACAUAAGUAACGAUAAAGCGGGUGAAAAGCCCGCUCGCCGGAAGACCAAGGGUUCCUGUCCAACGUUAAUCGGGGCAGGGUGAGUCGACCCCUAAGGCGAGGCCGAAAGGCGUAGUCGAUGGGAAACGGGUUAAUAUUCCCGUACUUGGUGUUACUGCGAAGGGGGGACGGAGAAGGCUAUGUUGGCCGGGCGACGGUUGUCCCGGUUUAAGCGUGUAGGUGUGUGUUCCAGGUAAAUCCGGUUCACUUUAACACUGAGGCGUGAUGACGAGGCACUACGGUGCUGAAGCAACAAAUGCCCUGCUUCCAGGAAAAGCCUCUAAGCAUCAGGUAACAUCAAAUCGUACCCCAAACCGACACAGGUGGUCAGGUAGAGAAUACCAAGGCGCUUGAGAGAACUCGGGUGAAGGAACUAGGCAAAAUGGUGCCGUAACUUCGGGAGAAGGCACGCUGACAUGUAGGUGAAGUGAUUUACUCAUGGAGCUGAAGUCAGUCGAAGAUACCAGCUGGCUGCAACUGUUUAUUAAAAACACAGCACUGUGCAAACACGAAAGUGGACGUAUACGGUGUGACGCCUGCCCGGUGCCGGAAGGUUAAUUGAUGGGGUCAGCGCAAGCGAAGCUCCUGAUCGAAGCCCCGGUAAACGGCGGCCGUAACUAUAACGGUCCUAAGGUAGCGAAAUUCCUUGUCGGGUAAGUUCCGACCUGCACGAAUGGCGUAAUGAUGGCCAGGCUGUCUCCACCCGAGACUCAGUGAAAUUGAACUCGCUGUGAAGAUGCAGUGUACCCGCGGCAAGACGGAAAGACCCCGUGAACCUUUACUAUAGCUUGACACUGAACAUUGAGCCUUGAUGUGUAGGAUAGGUGGGAGGCUUUGAAGUGUGGACGCCAGUCUGCAUGGAGCCGACCUUGAAAUACCACCCUUUAAUGUUUGAUGUUCUAACGUGGACCCGUAAUCCGGGUUGCGGACAGUGUCUGGUGGGUAGUUUGACUGGGGCGGUCUCCUCCUAAAGAGUAACGGAGGAGCACGAAGGUUGGCUAAUCCUGGUCGGACAUCAGGAGGUUAGUGCAAUGGCAUAAGCCAGCUUGACUGCGAGCGUGACGGCGCGAGCAGGUGCGAAAGCAGGUCAUAGUGAUCCGGUGGUUCUGAAUGGAAGGGCCAUCGCUCAACGGAUAAAAGGUACUCCGGGGAUAACAGGCUGAUACCGCCCAAGAGUUCAUAUCGACGGCGGUGUUUGGCACCUCGAUGUCGGCUCAUCACAUCCUGGGGCUGAAGUAGGUCCCAAGGGUAUGGCUGUUCGCCAUUUAAAGUGGUACGCGAGCUGGGUUUAGAACGUCGUGAGACAGUUCGGUCCCUAUCUGCCGUGGGCGCUGGAGAACUGAGGGGGGCUGCUCCUAGUACGAGAGGACCGGAGUGGACGCAUCACUGGUGUUCGGGUUGUCAUGCCAAUGGCACUGCCCGGUAGCUAAAUGCGGAAGAGAUAAGUGCUGAAAGCAUCUAAGCACGAAACUUGCCCCGAGAUGAGUUCU